AUGUGGCUCGGGAGCUGCGCAGGCAGCGCGACCGCAGCCGCAGCCGCGCUACAUAAACCCGUCGCCCACCCGCGGCCCCUCCUCAGAGUCUCCGCCUGUUCCUCCACCCCCGCACCGCUCCACGCCAACGCCCACCCCUCCGUCGCGGCUGGUCCGACCCGGGGCCCGGGCCCCAGCGCAAGCGUCGCGCCCACCGCGAUGCCGUCUUCCUCCUCCGCGCCGACGACGCCGCCGCCCGCCGAGGAGACGACCGCCGCCGCCGCAGCCGGCGGGUUCCGCCUCACCGAGCCCUCCUUCCUCGAGUCGCUCAUGCCGAAGAAGGAGACCGGCGUUGACCGCUUCCUCGCCGCGCACCCCGAGUACGACGGCCGCGGCUCGCUCAUCGCCAUCUUCGAUUCUGGAGUUGAUCCGGCUGCAGCUGGGUUGCAGAAAACUUCUGACGGGAAGCCCAAGAUCCUUGAUGUUAUUGAUUGCACGGGUAGUGGUGAUGUUGACACGUCCAAAGUGGUGAAAGCUGAUGCUGACGGUGCUAUAGUUGGUGCUUCAGGCGCUCGUUUGUCUGUAAAUCCCUCAUGGAAGAACCCUUCUCAAGAGUGGCGUGUUGGCUGCAAACUAGUAUAUGAACUCUUCACGGACACACUUAUAUCUCGAUUGAAGAAAGAAAGAAAAAGGAAAUGGGAUGAAGAAAACCAAGAAGCGAUAUCCAGAGCUCUGAACCAGCUGAACGAGUUUGAAAAGAAGCAUAGUAAGCCUGAUGAUGCUAAACUGAAAAAGGCUCAAGAAGACCUGCAAAACAGACUUGAUUGCCUGAGGAAACAAGCAGAUGGUUAUGAUGACAGGGGACCUGUGAUUGAUGUUGUUGUAUGGCAUGAUGGUGAUGUGUGGAGGGUUGCAGUUGAUACUCAGGGACUUGAGGAUAAGAAAGAUAGUGGAAAACUAGCAGAUUUUGUUCCGUUGACAAACUACAGGAUUGAGCGAAAGUUUGGGAUUUUUAGCAAAUUAGAUGCUUGCUCUUUUGUAGCAAAUGUGUAUGAUGAUGGGAACCUUGUCAGCAUAGUAACUGACUGCUCUCCGCAUGCUACCCAUGUUGCCGGCAUUGCAGCUGCUUUUCAUCCUGAAGAACCUUUGCUGAAUGGAAUUGCACCAGGGGCACAAUUGAUUUCUUGUAGAAUAGGAGAUACCCGCUUAGGAUCAAUGGAGACAGGGACAGGCUUGGUUAGGGCCUUGAUAGCUGCAGUAGAGCACAAAUGCGAUCUGAUUAAUAUGAGCUACGGUGAGCCUGCUCUUCUUCCUGACUAUGGAAGAUUCAUUGAUAUUGUCAAUGAGGUUGUCGACAAGCAUCGUAUUAUAUUUAUUAGUAGUGCUGGAAACAACGGUCCGGCUUUAAACACUGUUGGUGCACCUGGCGGGACUAGUUCAAGCAUUAUUGGUAUUGGUGCCUAUGUCUCACCAGCUAUGGCUGCUGGAGCCCACUGUGUCGUACAACCUCCGUCGGAGGGGAUGGAGUACACAUGGUCUAGUCGAGGUCCCACAGCUGAUGGGGAUCUUGGUGUCUCCAUUAGCGCACCUGGUGGAGCAGUGGCCCCUGUGCCAACAUGGACCCUUCAGUCUCGCAUGCUCAUGAAUGGUACUUCCAUGUCAUCUCCUUCUGCCUGUGGUGGGGUUGCUCUCCUUGUUAGUGCCAUGAAGGCUGAAGGCAUUCCAGUAAGCCCUUAUACUGUGAGGAAGGCAAUCGAGAAUACAGCUUCAUCUAUAAGUGAUGCACCUGAGGAGAAACUGACAACAGGACAUGGGCUUUUGCAAGUUGAUAGGGCUUAUGAAUAUGCGCGGCAAGCUAAGAAGUUGCCACUUGUUUCUUACAGAAUCUCAAUCAGUCAAGUAGGGAAGUCAAUUCCAAAACUAAGAGGAAUAUAUCUACGUGGGAGUAAUUCAUGUCAACAAACGAGUGAGUGGACUGUUCAACUUAACCCAAAAUUUCACGACGAUGCGAGUAAUUUGGAGCAAUUGGUUCCAUUUGAGGAGUGCCUGCAGCUGCAUUCCACUGAUAGCUCUGUUAUUAAUAUUCCUGAGUAUAUAUUGUUGACAAACAAUGGGCGCAGUUUCAACAUUGUCGUCAAUCCUGUUAAUAUCAGUAGUGGCCUUCACUACUAUGAAGUUUAUGGCAUGGAUUGCAGAGCACCAUGGCGUGGACCCAUUUUCCGAGUGCCAAUCACAAUAAUUAAGCCUAUUGCUCUAUCAGGAGAGCCGCCAAUAUUGUUACUUUCCAAACUGUACUUCAAGUCAGGUCAUAUCGAAAGGAGGUUCAUAAAUGUGCCAAUUGGGGCCUCGUGGGCGGAAGUUACCAUGCGCACAUCAGCCUUUGAUACUCCUAGAAGGUUCUUUUUGGAUACUGUUCAGAUGUGUCCACUGAAGCGACCUAUCAAAUGGGAGUCUGUUGUUACUUUCUCGUCACCAUCUAUCAAGAAUUUCAGUUUUCCUGUUGAAGGUGGCUUAACUUUGGAAUUGUCUAUAGCCCAGUUCUGGUCUAGUGGAAAUGCUAGCCAUGAACCUACCUGUGUUGAUUUCGAGAUUGUGUUUCAUGGAAUUUUCAUUGAUCAGAAAGUAAUUGCCCUUGAUGGUAGUGAGUCACCUAUGCGUAUUGUUGCUAGAUCAUUAUUAGCAUCAGAAAGGCUUGUUCCUGUUGCCACUCUGAACAAGAUCAAGAUACCUUAUCGACCAGUGGAUUCUAACUUUUGUCCGCUUCCCACCAGCCGUGAUAGAUUACCCUCUGGCAAGCAAAUUAUUGCACUGACUUUGACUUACAAAUUCAAACUGGAGGACGGUGCUGAAGUAAAGCCCCAUCUGCCCCUACUUAACAACAGAAUAUAUGAUAAUAAGUUUGAGUCUCAGUUCUAUAGAAUUUCAGAUUCAAAUAAGUGUGUUUACUCUUCUGGUGAUGUCUAUCCUAGUUAUGUCAAACUUCCAAAAGGUGAAUACACACUGCAAUUGUACAUAAGGCAUGAAAAUGUGCAAAUCUUGGAGAAGCUGAAGCAAUUGGUUCUAUUUAUUGAGAGAAAACUAGAGAAGAAGGAUUGCAUUCAAUUAAGUUUCUACUCUGAACCUGAUGGUCCUAUAACUGGAAAUGCCGCCUUCAAGUCCUCUGUUUUAGUUCCCGGAGAACCUGAAGCAUUCUAUGUGGGUCCACCAUCUAGAGAAAAACUUCCGAAGGGUGCUCCACCUGGGUCUGUUUUAGUUGGCUCCAUAACCUAUGGUAUAGUAAGCUCAUUCAACAAGAAAGAUGAACAGCAUGCUCCAGCAUCUUAUAGCAUUUUGUGUAUCAUUCCACCAUCAAAGGUUGAUGAUACUAAAGAAAAGGGGGUUUCAGUUGAAACAGAGAAGAGUAUUUCUGAGAGGUUAAAUGAUGAGGUUCGAGACACCAAGAUAAAGUUCCUUUCGGGCCUUAAACAAGACAAUGAGGACAACAAGUCUGCCUGGACUGAGCUUGUCGCUUCUCUUAAGUCUGAGUAUCCAAAAUAUACACCUUUGCUUGCCAAAAUUUUGGAAUGUGUACAUCAGGAAUCAACCUCUGAUGAUAAAAUUAGCCAUCACAAAGAGGUUAUUGUUGCAGCUGAUGAGGUCGUGGACAGUAUUGACAAAGAGCAACUAGCAAAACUUUUGGUUUUAAAACCCGAUCCUGAGGAUGAAGAAUCACAGAAAACUAAGAAAAAAAUGGAAGAAACACGAGACCAGCUAGCAGAUGCACUAUACCAAAAAGGUCUUGCACUGGCAGAGAUUGAGUCGUUAAAGCCUGAUGAGUCAACCGAGGCAUCUGCUAAAGAUGUUUUUGAGGAGAAUUACAAAGAAUUAAUUAAAUGGGUUGAUGCCAAAUCUACAAAAUACGGCACUCUGACCGUUCUACGUGAGAGGCGCUGUGGAAGAUGUGGCACGGCACUCAAGGUUCUAAACGACAUGAUUCAAGAGGACUCUGAGCAACCAAAGAAGAAGUUAUAUGAUCUGAAGAUCCAGCUGAUUGAGGAGAUAGGAUGGGCACAUGUAUCGGCUUAUGAAAAGCAGUGGAUGCAUGUCCGCUUUCCCCCAUCUCUGCCUCCCUUUUAA
This 4095-nucleotide ribosomal RNA is filed under the name Triticum aestivum (bread wheat). RNAcentral describes it as "partial small subunit ribosomal RNA". The record is from RNAcentral. Lineage: Eukaryota; Viridiplantae; Streptophyta; Magnoliopsida; Poales; Poaceae.